This 514-nucleotide ribosomal RNA is filed under the name Escherichia coli MP021561.3. RNAcentral describes it as "partial 23S ribosomal RNA". Lineage: Bacteria; Pseudomonadati; Pseudomonadota; Gammaproteobacteria; Enterobacterales; Enterobacteriaceae. The record is from RNAcentral.
GCACGCGAUUAUUUGCAUAUUGAUAUGGCCGCUUCUUAUAUGGUGGGCGAUAAAUUAGAAGAUAUGCAGGCAGCGGCUGCGGCGAACGUGGGAACAAAAGUGCUGGUGCGUACGGGUAAACCUAUUACGCCUGAAGCAGAAAACGCGGCGGAUUGGGUGUUAAAUAGCCUGGCAGACCUGCCGCAAGCGAUAAAAAAGCAGCAAAAACCGGCAUAAUGAUUAAAAGAUGAGCAAUUGAAAUAAAAAUGCAUUUUUCCACUUGUCUUCCUGAGACGACUCCCUAUAAUGCGCCUCCAUCGACACGGCGGAUGUGAAUCACUUCACACAAACAGCCGGUUCGGUUGAAGAGAAAAAUCCUGAAAUUCAGGGUUGACUCUGAAAGAGGAAAGCGUAAUAUACGCCACCUCGCGACAGUGCGCUAAAGCGCGUCGCAACUGCUCUUUAACAAUUUAUCAGACAAUCUGUGUGGGCACUCGAAGAUACGGAUUCUUAACGUCGCAAGACGAAAAAUGAA